Molecule: unclassified non-coding RNA, 2977 nt
Filed under: Hevea brasiliensis (rubber tree)
Lineage: Eukaryota; Viridiplantae; Streptophyta; Magnoliopsida; Malpighiales; Euphorbiaceae
Source: RNAcentral
UGAUGCGUAACAAGACAUCUGAAAAUAUUUUCUUUAGCAUCUGAGCACAUAGAGCUUAAACUGCCAGUUAAUGGAACAACUUAAAGGUCCAAGGCAGUCUACUCUUUAUACGUCAACAGAAAUUUAAUCCUGCUACUUGCGAUUCUCAGGAAUUGAUUUGGGAUGUAAGCUUUUACGUUUCAUUUAUCAUGUCAAUAACUGGAAUUACAUAGCAUUGUAUCAAAGCUUUAACUCUCAAACAUUCCCUCAUCUGAUAAUCCAGGAGAUUUAGUACCAUUUACAAGUGGUUGAUUUGAAAUGUCAUUCAAGUCACUUAAAAUGCUGUAAUCAAAGUCGUCGUCGUCAUCCUCAUCCUCAUUUCUGUGAUCCCCAUCCGAAUCUUCAUCCUCUCUUUGCUUCAUUCCCUUUGAACGAGAUUCUCUUUGCAUCCGCUGCUUGAUGGCAUCUUCAUAAGACAUUUCAUACCACACAGUACCCUUGCCCACGAUAGAUUUGUUGUGAGCAUCUGUCAUUCUCUCUUGCUUACUCUUUUCUGAGUUCUUUGGUUCUCCCCAGUAAUCAUAUCGGUAUAAAGGAUUAUCAGGAUCAUACUGAUCCUUCCCAAAAUAGCUUGCUGGCUUAUACCUCCCUGGUUCUUCCAAUGGCAAACCAAGAGCUUGGCGGCAGCUGAUGUCUCUGAUCAAAGCUUCUCUUUCCUCAUAUGAUCGACGCCAAUGCAUUAAAUCAUACUCAUCCAUUUCGAUAUUUCGCCUCAGCUUGGCAAUUUUAUAAUUUUCUCCUCUUUCCUGUGCUUCCUUCCUUAGUUUAUUGUGAAGCUCUCGCUCAGCUAACGCUGCUUCCAAGUCAAGUUCUUUAACACUUUGUUUCAUAAUUAUUUUUGGCAAUAAGGUUUUCUUGUAAUGAGCUGUGGUAUAUUCAACACUAUUUUGUUCAUCAAAAUCUUCAUCAUCAGUUAAUUCAGAUAGUUUUUUACCCUUGUAUUUCUCAGGACUAGUUUCCCAAUCAUCCAAAAUCAUUUGCUCAGCAACAUGGAUUUGCCACAACUUCUCAACAUAAGGGUGAUUUGAUAGUAGUGGUUCCUCUUCUGGUUUUGCUCCUGGAUCUUUUCUAGGAACAGGAGGUCUUCUACAAUCACGCCGUAAUUCAUCUGGGUUGGUAUCCUCAUCACGAUGAAAGAUUGGGGGAAAUUCAAAUCUGUUGAAGAUAAGGUGAUCUAUGUUAGGCCAUACAAAACGCAUUUCAAUAGGGAAUCGAAAACGGUACGGAUCUCGCUUUGCCAGAAUUUCUACAAAAACGUGCAUGCCAACUUUUAUGUGAUGGCGGAUCCAAUACCAAUCAUUUCCUCUGAUAGGAACCCACCUGAACAAAUAAGUAUACAUAAAUCUAGCUGGAAUAUUUACAUGCUUUAAAAUAUUAAUUAUUUCCAAGGAAAUUUAUCUAAAAAUGUUGCAAAUGAGUAGGAAGUAAAAGAUCAAAUGCUAGGCACUGGAAACAAUCCGUCCUUCCAGGAAACUAAAAAUUGAUUUAUGCUAUGAAAUACCAAAACAGGUGAUGAUACUUGCCCAUCAUGUACACCUCCGAUAUCAACAAAGGCUCCUUGAUAUAGAUGUAUAGUGGUCACUAUUCCCGCACAAAUCUGCAUCAACAUUACCCAGAAUUCCCAUUAGGAUGACUUACAAAAGUCUAAUGCAUGUGACCUUUUAGCAGUGCAAAGAAGAUUUAUCUUCAACUUGUAGGCCAUUUUCAUAUGCGUGUAGAUCACAGUAUCGCAAUAGAGUCAGUCCAGAUACAGGCUAACGUAUAUAUCUGCAGUAGUGUUCCAGCUAAAAGAAGUCAACUUAGGGAGAAUACCAAACGGAAUCAAUUCAAUCAUGGUCCUCUUGUUUAAUCUAUAUAAAUAAAGUCAAGGUGGAAGCCGGUGCCGACUACUCCAUACAUGUGGUAUUAAAGCAAAGGCAACAUUAACUUAUGAAUAACACUAUUGUGUCAGAAAGAUAGUGAAUAAGGGAAACUCACAUCUAAGAAGAUGUUUCUUGUUACAAGAGAGGUACAAUUAUUUGAAGCAAACUUCAAGAGAACACUCUAGGAAAAGAAUCAGCUCGAGAAUUUACCUGCCCUGGGUAAUAAAAUGGAAGUUCGUACAUGCCCUCUUUGUAGUCUUUUCCUCUUUUCCUUCUACCAGGAUAAUAAUCUUGGUCUUGCUUAUAAGAUUCCUCUUCUAAUCUAUCCUUAUUUGCAGCAACCCAUUCAUUGUAUUGCUUCAGAAACAUCUUAUACCUAUCCAAACACAUCCCUUCAGUAUCAGUAGUUUCCAUACUGUCCAAUUCCUCCACCACCACUCUGACGGACAGCAACUUGUGCGCUUCCCUUAUAAACUCCAGCUCCUUCCUAUCGACCUCCCAACCUCUGGGAGGCCAAUCUCUAGGGGGCACGUGCCUCAAAACCAAAGGCCCCGCCCAAAUCGUCUCGAGCUUUUCCGGAAUCUCCCCCUUGAUCUCGAACUGCUUCCUGUACCACUCGUCUUCGGUCAAUCCCAUUUCUUUAAUCUUUUUGAGUCGGUACUUUGGAGAAAGCAUUCUGAAAGCUUCGAUGGCUUCCGGCGACUGGAGCGGAACCUCUUCGCCUUCAUUGAGGGACUUGCGGGCGAAGUCGGCUUCGGGAGUGAGAAUUUCCUCCCAGGGGGCCCAUCCUCGCUCGAUCCAGUUCUUACGGCGCCAUUCCUCUUCUUUUGCGCUGUCUCUGGGACCGAAUGUUUGGACAAAGGUGUCGUCCACAGGGAAUUCGUCGGAGCUGAAGCAUUUUGGAGGUGUUGAGGCGGUGGUGGAGGAGGAUGAUAUAGUUUGGGAGGAAAAAGGAUGGUAAAUGCAGUGGUGGUGACGGUGGGAACGGUGGUUAUGGGUAGUGUUUAGGGGUUUGGGUAAAGAGAAGAGAUAAGAGGUCUGGAGGACUUGCAUUUGGUGGGAAUGGCUGUGGAUCU